Molecule: small nuclear RNA, 163 nt
Organism: Cyprinus carpio carpio
Lineage: Eukaryota; Metazoa; Chordata; Actinopteri; Cypriniformes; Cyprinidae
Gene: U1
Rfam family: U1 spliceosomal RNA
About the family: U1 is a small nuclear RNA (snRNA) component of the spliceosome (involved in pre-mRNA splicing). Its 5' end forms complementary base pairs with the 5' splice junction, thus defining the 5' donor site of an intron. There are significant differences in sequence and secondary structure between metazoan and yeast U1 snRNAs, the latter being much longer (568 nucleotides as compared to 164 nucleotides in human).
Source: Ensembl
ACGCUGUCUGGCAGAGGAGACACCAUGAUCAAGAAGGCAGUUCACUCAGGCCGAGGCUCGUCCAUUGCACUCUGGCUGUGCUGACCCCUGCGAAUUCCCCAAAUGUGGGAAUCUCGACUGCAUAAUUUAUGGUAGUGGCGGACUGCGUUCGCACUCUCCCCUG